GACGAAGGGGGCAAGCGUUGUUCGGAAUUACUGGGCGUAAAGGGCGCGUAGGCGGCCAUUCAAGUCAGCCGUGAAAGGCCUGGGCUCAACCUGGGAAUUGCGGUUGGGACUGAGUGGCUAGAGAGCGGGAGAGGAUGGUGGAAUUCCCAGUGUAGAGGUGAAAUUCGUAGAUAUUGGGAAGAACACCGGUGGCGAAGGCGACCCGCUGGGUCACACCUGACACUGAGACGCGACAGCAUGGGGAGCGAACGGG
Molecule: ribosomal RNA, 253 nt
Filed under: uncultured bacterium
Lineage: Bacteria
Description: partial 16S ribosomal RNA
Rfam family: Bacterial small subunit ribosomal RNA
Source: RNAcentral